CAGUCGCCGCGGUAAUCCGUAGGGUGCGAGCGUUAAUCGGAAUUACUGGGCGUAAAGCGUGCGCAGGCGGUUAUAUAAGACAGAUGUGAAAUCCCCGGGCUCAACCUGGGACCUGCAUUUGUGACUGUAUAGCUAGAGUACGGUAGAGGGGGAUGGAAUUCCGCGUGUAGCAGUGAAAUGCGUAGAUAUGCAGAGGAACACCGAUGGCGAAGGCAAUCCCCUGGACCUGCACUGACGCUCAUGCACGAAAGCGUGGGGAGCAAACAGGAUUAGAUACCCGCGUAGUCCCUGUCUCUUAUAC
Molecule: ribosomal RNA, 301 nt
Filed under: uncultured bacterium
Lineage: Bacteria
Description: partial 16S ribosomal RNA
Rfam family: Bacterial small subunit ribosomal RNA
Source: RNAcentral